This 465-nucleotide ribosomal RNA is filed under the name Vreelandella stevensii. Its description in RNAcentral is "partial 16S ribosomal RNA". It matches the Rfam family "Bacterial small subunit ribosomal RNA", at positions 338 to 795 of the family's 1533-position model. The record is from RNAcentral. Lineage: Bacteria; Pseudomonadati; Pseudomonadota; Gammaproteobacteria; Oceanospirillales; Halomonadaceae.
CCUACGGGUGGCUGCAGUGGGGAAUAUUGGACAAUGGGCGAAAGCCUGAUCCAGCCAUGCCGCGUGUGUGAAGAAGGCCUUCGGGUUGUAAAGCACUUUCAGUGGGGAAGAAAGCCUUGGGGCUAAUACCCGCGAGGAAGGACAUCACCCACAGAAGAAGCACCGGCUAACUCCGUGCCAGCAGCCGCGGUAAUACGGAGGGUGCGAGCGUUAAUCGGAAUUACUGGGCGUAAAGCGCGCGUAGGCGGUCUGAUAAGCCGGUUGUGAAAGCCCCGGGCUCAACCUGGGAACGGCAUCCGGAACUGUCAGGCUAGAGUGCAGGAGAGGAAGGUAGAAUUCCCGGUGUAGCGGUGAAAUGCGUAGAGAUCGGGAGGAAUACCAGUGGCGAAGGCGGCCUUCUGGACUGACACUGACGCUGAGGUGCGAAAGCGUGGGUAGCAAACAGGAUUAGAUACCCGAGUAGUC